Molecule: non-coding RNA, 73 nt
Organism: Stegostoma tigrinum
Lineage: Eukaryota; Metazoa; Chordata; Chondrichthyes; Orectolobiformes; Stegostomatidae
Source: the annotation of a RefSeq genome assembly
GGGCCAGUGGCAUAAUGGAUAACGCAUCUGACUUCGGAUCAGGAGGUUGUAGGUUUGACUCCUGCCUGGCUCA